CCUACGGGAGGCAGCAGUGGGGAAUAUUGGGCAAUGGGCGCAAGCCUGACCCAGCAACGCCGCGUGAAGGAAGAAGGCUUUCGGGUUGUAAACUUCUUUUCUCAGGGACGAAGAAAGUGACGGUACCUGAGGAAUAAGCCACGGCUAACUACGUGCCAGCAGCCGCGGUAAUACGUAGGUGGCAAGCGUUAUCCGGAUUUACUGGGUGUAAAGGGCGUGUAGGCGGGAAAGCAAGUCAGAUGUGAAAACCAUGGGCUCAACCUGUGGCCUGCAUUUGAAACUGUUUUUCUUGAGUACUGGAGAGGCAGACGGAAUUCCUCGUGUAGCGGUGAAAUGCGGAGAUAUGAGGAGGAACACCAGUGGCGAAGGCGGUCUGCUGGACAGCAACUGACGCUGAGGCGCGAAAGCGUGGGGAGCAAACAGGAUUAGAUACCCCAGUAGUC
This 443-nucleotide ribosomal RNA is filed under the name uncultured bacterium. RNAcentral describes it as "partial 16S ribosomal RNA". It matches the Rfam family "Bacterial small subunit ribosomal RNA", at positions 338 to 795 of the family's 1533-position model. The record is from RNAcentral.